This 466-nucleotide ribosomal RNA is filed under the name uncultured Comamonas sp. RNAcentral's name for it is "bacterial SSU rRNA". It matches the Rfam family "Bacterial small subunit ribosomal RNA", at positions 338 to 796 of the family's 1533-position model. The record is from RNAcentral. Lineage: Bacteria; Pseudomonadati; Pseudomonadota; Betaproteobacteria; Burkholderiales; Comamonadaceae.
CCUACGGGUGGCAGCAGUGGGGAAUUUUGGACAAUGGGCGAAAGCCUGAUCCAGCAAUGCCGCGUGCAGGAUGAAGGCCCUCGGGUUGUAAACUGCUUUUGUACGGAACGAAAAGCCUGGGGCUAAUAUCCCCGGGUCAUGACGGUACCGUAAGAAUAAGCACCGGCUAACUACGUGCCAGCAGCCGCGGUAAUACGUAGGGUGCAAGCGUUAAUCGGAAUUACUGGGCGUAAAGCGUGCGCAGGCGGUUUUGUAAGACAGUGGUGAAAUCCCCGGGCUCAACCUGGGAACUGCCAUUGUGACUGCAAGGCUAGAGUGCGGCAGAGGGGGAUGGAAUUCCGCGUGUAGCAGUGAAAUGCGUAGAUAUGCGGAGGAACACCGAUGGCGAAGGCAAUCCCCUGGGCCUGCACUGACGCUCAUGCACGAAAGCGUGGGGAGCAAACAGGAUUAGAUACCCCGGUAGUCU